RNAcentral lists this RNase P RNA (309 nucleotides) under Salmonella enterica subsp. enterica serovar Infantis. Its description in RNAcentral is "partial RNase P RNA component class A". It matches the Rfam family "Bacterial RNase P class A", at positions 1 to 289 of the family's 367-position model. From Rfam's summary of the family: Ribonuclease P (RNase P) is a ubiquitous endoribonuclease, found in archaea, bacteria and eukarya as well as chloroplasts and mitochondria. Its best characterised activity is the generation of mature 5'-ends of tRNAs by cleaving the 5'-leader elements of precursor-tRNAs. The record is from RNAcentral. Lineage: Bacteria; Pseudomonadati; Pseudomonadota; Gammaproteobacteria; Enterobacterales; Enterobacteriaceae. RNAcentral also lists the same sequence under 1 other name.
GAAGCUGACCAGACAGUCGCCGCUUCGUCGUCGUCCUUUCGGGGAGACGGGCGGAGGGGAGGAAAGUCCGGGCUCCAUAGGGCAGGGUGCCAGGUAACGCCUGGGGGGGAAACCCACGACCAGUGCAACAGAGAGCAAACCGCCGAUGGCCCACGUAAGUGGGAUCAGGUAAGGGUGAAAGGGUGCGGUAAGAGCGCACCGCGCGGCUGGUAACAGUCCGUGGCACGGUAAACUCCACCCGGAGCAAGGCCAAAUAGGGGUUCAUAAGGUACGGCCCGUACUGAACCCGGGUAGGCUGCUUGAGCCAGU